GCGGGAGCCCGGCCACCGCCCCCGACGCCACCAGCGCCGGUUCUGCAGCUGGGAGGAGUUGCGGCCGCGAUGCUGGUGGCGGCGGCCGCGGAGCGAAACAAGGAGCCCAUCCUGCACGUGCUACGGCAGUACCUGGACCCGACCCAGCGCGGCGUCCGCGUACUCGAGGUGGCCUCGGGCUCCGGCCAGCACGCGGCGCACUUCGCGCGGGCCUUCCCCCUGGCCGAGUGGCAGCCGUCGGACGUGGACCAGCGCUGCCUGGACAGCAUCGCGGCCACCACGCAAGCCCACGGUCUGACCAACGUGAAGGCCCCGCUGCACCUGGACGUGACGUGGGGCUGGGAGCACUGGGGCGGGAUCCUGCCGCAGUCGCUGGACCUGUUGCUGUGCAUCAACAUGACCCACAUCAGUCCCCUGUGCUGCACGGAGGGGCUCUUCAGAGCAGCAGGACACCUGCUCAAACCCAGAGCCCUGCUCAUCACCUACGGGGGAGGGGGUGCCCGUUUCAUUCUCCGGACCCCAGCCUGCAAGUCUGUCCCGGGCUCUCUGGGAAACAGCCGACCUUGGUCCAGUGGGCUGUGUCCCCGUCCCCGCAGCCCUAUGCCGUCAACGGGAAGAUCUCUCCCCAGAGCAACGUGGACUUCGACCUAAUGCUCAGAUGCAGGAACCCGGAAUGGGGCCUUCGGGACACAGCCCUCCUGGAGGACCUGGGACAGGCCAGUGGCCUGCUCCUGGAGAGGAUGGUGGACAUGCCAGCCAACAACAAGUGCCUGAUCUUCCGGAAGAACUGAGCCCCUCCUUCACCCCGCACACCUGCAUCCCUGCCGGAGGCCCUGUGGGGCACAAACCCUGCCUCCCUAGGCUGGGCCUUGUGGGUAACAGCCCCACCCAGUCUGCGCUCUCAGCCAGUGGCUGAAAGGCUCAGCCUGCUCAGAAUAAAGCAUCUCCUGCUGCCGGC
Cercocebus atys (sooty mangabey) is the source of this 958-nucleotide RNA transcript. It is a transcript of the gene named chromosome unknown open reading frame, human C16orf13, with no coding region annotated. The transcript has 6 exons. The record is from RefSeq and is a predicted model, not a curated record. NCBI's taxonomy places the organism in Eukaryota, Metazoa, Chordata, Mammalia, Primates, Cercopithecidae.